GGCAUUGAAGGUUGCACUUCUGGUGUUGCAU
Molecule: non-coding RNA, 31 nt
Filed under: Mus musculus (house mouse)
Lineage: Eukaryota; Metazoa; Chordata; Mammalia; Rodentia; Muridae
Source: RNAcentral